Molecule: ribosomal RNA, 253 nt
Filed under: uncultured bacterium
Lineage: Bacteria
Description: partial 16S ribosomal RNA
Rfam family: Bacterial small subunit ribosomal RNA
Source: RNAcentral
UACGAAGGGUGCAAACGUUGCUCGGAAUUAUUGGGCGUAAAGCGCACGUAGGCGGCUUUGCAAGUCGGAUGUGAAAUCCCUCGGCUUAACCAAGGAAGUGCAUCCGAAACUGCAGAGCUUGAGUACUUAAGAGGAUCGCGGAAUUCCCGGUGUAGAGGUGAAAUUCGUAGAUAUCGGGAGGAACACCAGUGGCGAAGGCGGCGAUCUGGGAAGAUACUGACGCUGAGGUGCGAAAGCGUUGGGAGCAAACAGG